AGCACGGUACGCAACUGGCGAUAGGUGCGCUCAACACGACGGUCUCUGGCCUCGUCGGAGCGCAACCGACGUGGCCCCUGGAACCGGCGUUGACCGCCCUACCCUCCAGAUCACCACGGGGAAGCGUACCGCCUCCGGAUCAUUGGACCCGAAGGUGUUCAGCCGUUCGCCUGGGCAGCCCUU
Molecule: non-coding RNA, 183 nt
Filed under: Hydrogenophaga crassostreae
Lineage: Bacteria; Pseudomonadati; Pseudomonadota; Betaproteobacteria; Burkholderiales; Comamonadaceae
Description: ZMP/ZTP riboswitch aptamer (pfl RNA motif)
Rfam family: ZMP/ZTP riboswitch aptamer (pfl RNA motif)
About the family: Previously known as pfl RNA. ZMP is also known as AICAR.
Source: Rfam by way of RNAcentral